Molecule: long non-coding RNA, 1426 nt
Organism: Homo sapiens (human)
Lineage: Eukaryota; Metazoa; Chordata; Mammalia; Primates; Hominidae
Source: Ensembl
GGUGCUCUUAGAAGAGGAAGACACCAGAGCUGUCCCUCUCUCGGCUUGCACUAAGGAGGAGGUCACGUGAGCACACAGUGAGAAGGCGGAGGACCAUCUGCAAGCAGGAAGAGAGCCCUCGCUAGAACCCCCCACGGUGGCAUCUGAUAGUGGACUUCUAGCUUCCAGAACUGAACUCAUAAAUGUCACAUCAGGCUGCCUCUUGGUGAAUUUUUAAUCAACGGGGAGAAUUUCAGCUACAAAUAGACCAAGAAUCAAGAGGCCCACUAUUGAUCGGUCAAAGUGGCACUUAUGAACCUGAGGUUGAAGCAGUUUGGAUAAAAGGAUUCUGGGCUUUCGAUGGCCCCAGAGACAUCUUUUUCCAUCAAGUCCAGGCUUGCUGAUCGGUACAGCUGAGAACAUGUUGAAUUUGAUGUGCCUGUGGAUAUUUGAGUCUGGAACAUUGAAGACAAGUUUGGUCUGGAGAUGUAGACUGGGGAUAUCUCAGCACACAGAUGAUAACUGAAAUGAUGGAGCGGAUGAUAUAAACUGGAGAGAGUCUGGUGUGGGAAGAGUCUUCCCUGAGGUGGCCGAAAGAUGUAAUUCUUACUCCAAAGACUGAAAUAGAGACAAGAGAAGCUGAAGUUACAGGGUUUUGUCAUUGGGAAGACAGUAGAGUGUGUCAUAUCCCAAGAGUGAAGCAAGGACAAACCAAAGAACAACUGGGAAGAUCUGGGAGAAAAAGGAGACAGGGUCUUACUUUGUUGCCAAGGCUGGCUUCAAACUCCUGACUUCAAGAGAUCCUCCCACCCCACCCACCCAAAGUGCUGGGAUUACAGGUGUGCGCCACUGUGCCUAGCGGGUCAUCAGUCUUUGAGAUGCUGUUGACAAAGCCAUUUGAUGAUAUCAAAGAAGGAAUGAAGCAUAAGGUUUUUUGGCCCCUCUGCUUGGGAUGCCACUUGCAGGCAGAACUCUCCACAGUUUUACCAUCCAGUGAAGAAUCACCUGUUUAUAGCCUGUGUAAAAUCAAUGAUGCUUCUUGGAAACAAGUCUAUUCUCAUAGACAGCUUGACGUUGCAUGGCUGAGUCAUUUGUCAGAGUGCUCUGGCUUUAAAUAUACCUCCAAGUCUUAAGACACAUGAACUUUUGAGGUGCAGGAAUCAGCAAUUCUAAAAGGCACAAGUCUUCCAUCCAAGGUCCUGGUUGCCUUCUAGAUCCUGUUCUAACAAACAUAUCUCCAAAUCUCAUUUGCUUAACCCCAUACAAGUUUAUUUGCCGAGAACAUCAAGGUGAAGGUAUGCUCCAUGAACUAGCAGCAUUGGCAUUACCUGGGAGCUUGUUAGAAUUCAGAAUCUCAGACCCACCUCAGACCUACUGAAUCAGAAUUUCAUUUUAACAAGAUCUCCAAGUGGUGUGUAAGCACAUUAAAAAUUUGGAAGUGCUGCCC